AGAGUUUGAUCCUGGCUCAGAACUAACGCUAGCGGCGUGCCUAACACAUGCAAGUCGUACGAGAAAGUCCCGUUCGCGGGGUGAGUAAAGUGGCGCACGGGUGAGUAAUGCGUGGAUAAUCUACCGUCAGGUGAGGAAUAACCUACCGAAAGGUUGGCUAAUACCUCAUAAUACGUGCCGAUGUUGGUCGGUUCGUCAAAGAUGGCCUCUCGUUGAAGCUGUCGCCAGACGAUGAGUCCGCGUACCAUUAGCUUGUUGGUGGGGUAAAAGCCUACCAAGGCUACGAUGGUUAGCUGGUCUGAGAGGACGACCAGCCACACUGGAACUGAGACACGGUCCAGACUCCUACGGGAGGCAGCAGUGAGGAAUCUUGCGCAAUGGGGGCAACCCUGACGCAGCAACGCCGCGUGAGUGAGGAAGGCCUUCGGGUCGUAAAGCUCUAUCAGAUGGGAAGAAAUGCAGUGGGAAUAAUACGUCCACUGUUUGACGGUACCAUCAGAGGAAGCACCGGCAAACUCCGUGCCAGCAGCCGCGGUAAUACGGGGGGUGCAA
This 552-nucleotide ribosomal RNA is filed under the name uncultured Smithella sp. RNAcentral's name for it is "bacterial SSU rRNA". It matches the Rfam family "Bacterial small subunit ribosomal RNA", at positions 8 to 537 of the family's 1533-position model. Lineage: Bacteria; Pseudomonadati; Thermodesulfobacteriota; Syntrophia; Syntrophales; Smithellaceae. The record is from RNAcentral.